CGGCACGUGUCCAACGCCAAGGCUGCGCUGGCUGCUGGCCGGAGAUUGUAAGAUUAUGAGAUCUGAGAACG
Molecule: small nucleolar RNA, 71 nt
Filed under: Drosophila persimilis
Lineage: Eukaryota; Metazoa; Arthropoda; Insecta; Diptera; Drosophilidae
Also listed under: 1 other name
Description: snoRNA:GL27972
Source: RNAcentral